GUGUCAGCAGCCGCGGUAAUACGGGGGGGGCAAGCGUUGUUCGGAAUUACUGGGCGUAAAGGGCUCGUAGGCGGCCAACUAAGUCAUACGUGAAAUCCCUCGGCUUAACCGGGGAACUGCGUAUGAUACUGGAUGGCUUGAGUUCGGGAGAGGGAUGCGGAAUUCCAGGUGUAGCGGUGAAAUGCGUAGAUAUCUGGAGGAACACCGGUGGCGAAGGCGGCAUCCUGGACCGAUACUGACGCUGAGGAGCGAAAGCCAGGGGAGCAAACGGGAUUAGAUACCCCGGUAGUCCUGGCCCUAAACGAUGAAUGCUUGGUGUGGCGGGUAUCGAUCCCUGCCGUGCCGAAGCUAACGCAUUAAGCAUUCCGCCUGGGGAGUACGGUCGCAAGGCUGAAACUCAAAUGAAUUGACGGGG
RNAcentral lists this ribosomal RNA (415 nucleotides) under uncultured prokaryote. RNAcentral describes it as "bacterial SSU rRNA". It matches the Rfam family "Bacterial small subunit ribosomal RNA", at positions 505 to 918 of the family's 1533-position model. The record is from RNAcentral.